UUUUCUCAGCACUCUUCCUACAAGGCGAGGUCAAGAGUCACCUUGUGUUGAAAAUCUUACUAGUAUAGUACUCAACAGUAAAUAUAUUCCCAAAAUGACCGUAAGAAUUCCUACUUCAAACCCUCAGACCUCAAAUAACUGCCAGAACUACUUGACUGAGGUAUCAACCUAUGUUAUCUCCUCCAUCAGAAAGCCCAUGAUAUUGACAUAAAAGUGGCUGUUGCUGUGUUGGACACUUGCUCCCAUCUAUUUUCUUCUCUAGAAUCCACUGCCCUGGAAUGAGUCAUUUUUUUUAGAAGCAGAGGUGGAGCCACUGAGGAAGCACAGGCGAGCCCUCCCCAGCGUGUACUCACUGGUCCCCAACAGAAGAACAGCUGCCGCAUCCACUGAGCAGGCUUCCAUUGUGGUGGGUUGUGUCACCCCACAAUGUCACUGUUGCUGAGUCUCCAUCGCCUCUGUGUUGUGGAGCAGUUAGAGACACACAGCAGUGUCUGUGAGUGGCUCUGUUGAAGGACCGUUUUCUAGAUGAGAGGCACAUCUCAACACAGCUCACUGAUCAGACUCAG
This 566-nucleotide long non-coding RNA is filed under the name Homo sapiens (human). RNAcentral's name for it is "non-protein coding lnc-ANKRD30B-13:4". Lineage: Eukaryota; Metazoa; Chordata; Mammalia; Primates; Hominidae. The record is from RNAcentral.